AUGGAACCAAACUCUAAUCUCUGGAAACUAAUGAACAAACACUGGUUUGAUAAGGAUAGACCCACAAUCAUUAGGUGGAAAAAGGGGUUGCUGGCUGAUUUAGAAAUCCUAAAAUACAGGAUCAAGACUGAUCAAGACAGGUUUGAUAAGGAUAGACCCACAAUCCCUGUUGUAGUUUGCUCUGUUUUCUUUUCUUUCCUCGACCGUUUUUUUAGGGCCCAAAAUAUCCAGAAAGGGUGUUGGGGGAGGAAGAGGAGAUCACGGUCGGCAGCUCUGCGUCCAUUCAUCCAGGCCGAGAUAAUAACGAUGCCCAAUCCGGAUUUGGACGCCUCAUCUCUGAACAUUAGAAACACUGAGCAGUCAAUGUUACUUGCUAUAAAUUUCGAUAUAGGAUAUUCUUGA
Molecule: ribosomal RNA, 402 nt
Filed under: Triticum aestivum (bread wheat)
Lineage: Eukaryota; Viridiplantae; Streptophyta; Magnoliopsida; Poales; Poaceae
Description: partial small subunit ribosomal RNA
Source: RNAcentral